Molecule: ribosomal RNA, 255 nt
Filed under: uncultured bacterium
Lineage: Bacteria
Description: partial 16S ribosomal RNA
Rfam family: Bacterial small subunit ribosomal RNA
Source: RNAcentral
CGGAGGGGCUAGCGUUGUUCGGAAUUACUGGGGCGUAAAGCGCGCGUAGGCGGCUUUGUAAGUUAGAGGUGAAAGCCCGGAGCUCAACUCCGGAACUGCCUUUAAGACUGCAUCGCUAGAAUUGUGGAGAGGUGAGUGGAAUUCCGAGUGUAGAGGUGAAAUUCGUAGAUAUUCGGAAGAACACCAGUGGCGAAGGCGACUCACUGGACACAUAUUGACGCUGAGGUGCGAAAGCGUGGGGGAGCAAACAGGAUU